AAAACCAUGAGAGUCAGAUGUAUAAGAUAACUGUGAUAA
RNAcentral lists this non-coding RNA (39 nucleotides) under Trypanosoma brucei brucei. Lineage: Eukaryota; Euglenozoa; Kinetoplastea; Trypanosomatida; Trypanosomatidae. The record is from RNAcentral.